GACGAACGCUGGCGGCGUGCCUAAUACAUGCAAGUGGAACGCAUGAUUGAUACCGGAGCUUGCUCCACCAUUAAUCAUGAGUCGCGAACGGGUGAGUAACGCGUAGGUAACCUACCUCAUAGCGGGGGAUAACUAUUGGAAACGAUAGCUAAUACCGCAUAACAGUAUUUAUCACAUGGUAAAUGCUUGAAAGGAGCAAUUGCUUCACUAUGAGAUGGACCUGCGUUGUAUUAGCUAGUUGGUGGGGUAACGGCUCACCAAGGCAUCGAUACAUAGCCGACCUGAGAGGGUGAUCGGCCACACUGGGACUGAGACACGGCCCAGACUCCUACGGGAGGCAGCAGUAGGGAAUCUUCGGCAAUGGGGGGAACCCUGACCGAGCAACGCCGCGUGAGUGAAGAAGGUUUUCGGAUCGUAAAGCUCUGUUGUAAGAGAAGAACGUGUGUGAGAGUGGAAAGUUCACACAGUGACGGUA
RNAcentral lists this ribosomal RNA (475 nucleotides) under uncultured bacterium. RNAcentral's name for it is "bacterial SSU rRNA". It matches the Rfam family "Bacterial small subunit ribosomal RNA", at positions 28 to 477 of the family's 1533-position model. The record is from RNAcentral.